Homo sapiens (human) is the source of this 626-nucleotide long non-coding RNA. Ensembl annotates it as charged multivesicular body protein 1B2, pseudogene. Its record names the gene CHMP1B2P. NCBI's taxonomy places the organism in Eukaryota, Metazoa, Chordata, Mammalia, Primates, Hominidae. The record is from Ensembl.
AGAAACAGGAAAUGGGAUUGCAAACCUAGUAGCUGCGCGUGCCGGCUAUUCAGGACUAGCGCAGGACUCUGGGCGACCUCACAUCCCACUCGUGCUGCUGCCCCGGGCACUCGCCUCCCGCGAAAAGUCGUGGGACCACGUCGAAUAUGGGGAAGCCAUUAUUUUACUUGAAGUUUGCUGCAAAAGAACUUAAUAGGAAUGCCAAGAAAUGUGAUAAAGAAGAAAAGGCUGAAAAGGCCAAGAUUAAAAGGCUAUUCAGAAAGGCAAUAAGGAAGCUGCAAGAAUACAUGCUGAAAAUGCAAUCCACCAGAAAAAUCAAGCAAUUGAUUUCUUAAGAAUGAGUGCUAGAGUUGGUGCUGUGGCAGUCAGAGGUCAAAAUGCAGUAACAAUGGGCAGGACUUCUGCCUUGAUGGACAAAUUCAAACACCAGUUUGAAACACUGGAUAUUCAAACACAACAAAUGGAAGAUAAAAUGAGUAGCUCUACAACCCUAAUAACACCACAAGACACAACUGGAGAAACUGGUUAUUUUACCAAGGCUUUGACUGGAAUGGCAUAGUUUCAGGUUGCUUUAAGGAAUCAACUUUGACUUAUAAAGCCAAUAAAUACACCUUGGGAAAACUGGC